RNAcentral lists this ribosomal RNA (301 nucleotides) under uncultured bacterium. RNAcentral's name for it is "partial 16S ribosomal RNA". It matches the Rfam family "Bacterial small subunit ribosomal RNA", at positions 509 to 807 of the family's 1533-position model. The record is from RNAcentral.
CAGCAGCCGCGGUAAUACGUAGGGUGCAAGCGUUAAUCGGAAUUACUGGGCGUAAAGCGUGCGCAGGCGGUUAUAUAAGUCAGAUGUGAAAUCCCCGGGCUCAACCUGGGAACUGCAUUUGAGACUGUAUGGCUAGAGUGUGUCAGAGGGGGGUAGAAUUCCACGUGUAGCAGUGAAAUGCGUAGAUAUGUGGAGGAAUACCGAUGGCGAAGGCAGCCCCCUGGGCCAAUACUGACGCUCAUGCGCGAAAGCGUGGGGAGCAAACAGGAUUAGAUACCCGGGUAGUCCCUGUCUCUUAUAC